RNAcentral lists this ribosomal RNA (774 nucleotides) under uncultured Neocallimastigales. RNAcentral's name for it is "partial large subunit ribosomal RNA". It matches the Rfam family "Eukaryotic large subunit ribosomal RNA", at positions 24 to 643 of the family's 3401-position model. Lineage: Eukaryota; Fungi; Neocallimastigomycota; Neocallimastigomycetes; Neocallimastigales. The record is from RNAcentral.
UAUGUGAUCGUCUCUCGCAUAUCAAUAAGCGGAGGAAAAGAAACUAACAAGGAUUCCCCUAGUAACGGCGAGUGAAGCGGGAAGAGCUCAAAUUUGAAAUCUUAAAGGGUUUCCCUUUACGAAUUGUAGUUUAAAGAAGUGUUUUCUGUUGAGGUUUUGGUAAAAGUUCUUUGGAAUAGGACAUCAUAGAGGGUGAGAAUCCCGUAUUUGACCUUUACUUUCAACUUUGUGAUACACUUUCAAAGAGUCGGAUUGUUUGGGAAUGCAGUCCAAAAUGGGUGGUAAAUUUCAUCUAAAGCUAAAUAUUGGCGAGAGACCGACAGCGAACAAGUACCGUGAGGGAAAGAUGAAAAGAACUUUGAAAAGAGAGUUAAACAGUACGUGAAAUUGUCAAAAGGGAAGCGUUUGACACCAGUGUUGUUUUUCUGAAAAUCAAUUAAAGAACUGUUUAUGCUAAGUUGUUUAGACUUUAUCAGCUAACUGUUUAGUUUUGAGCUUUUCUUUAAUGCACUUUUCAGUUAACAAGUCAACAUCAAUUUCUUUUGCUGUAAAAAAGCUUGAGGAAGGUGGCUUGAGAUUCGUCUUAAGUGUUUAUAGCCUCUUGCCUAUGCAGUCGGAGAGAUUGAGGUCUGCAGCGUAGAUCCUUCGGGGCUAAAUGCAUUUGUGCUAAGUUAUAGCAUUUUAUAGACAACUUGUUGACUAUGAUUUGUCUUGUAGCUUACUCGCUUAUGUUAUUUUACCUACGCUUAGGAUGUUGACACACGCGCGUGCUCG